Molecule: small nuclear RNA, 164 nt
Filed under: Pogona vitticeps (central bearded dragon)
Lineage: Eukaryota; Metazoa; Chordata; Lepidosauria; Squamata; Agamidae
Description: U1 spliceosomal RNA (ENSPVIG00000015093.1)
Rfam family: U1 spliceosomal RNA
About the family: U1 is a small nuclear RNA (snRNA) component of the spliceosome (involved in pre-mRNA splicing). Its 5' end forms complementary base pairs with the 5' splice junction, thus defining the 5' donor site of an intron.
Source: Rfam by way of RNAcentral
AUACUUACCUGGCAGGGGAAAUACCAUGAUCACAAAGGUGGUUUUCUCAGGCUGAGGCUCAUCCAUUGCACUUCGGGUGUGCUGAUCCCUGUGAUUUCCCCAAAUGUGGGAAACUUGACUGCAUAAUUUGUGGUAGUGGGGGGCUGUUUUGGUGCUUUCCUGUG